GACGAACCGUGCAAACGUUAUUCGGAAUCACUGGGCUUAAAGCGCGUGUAGGCGGGCCAGCACGUCGGAUGCUGAAAGCCCCCGGCUCAACCGGGGAAGGGGCACCGAUACGACUGGCCUGGAGGGGGGUAGGGGGAGCCGGAACUCACGGUGGAGCGGUGAAAUGCGUUGAGAUCGUGAGGAACGCCCGUGGCGAAAGCGGGCUCCUGGACCCCACCUGACGCUGAGACGCGAAAGCCAGGGGAGCGAACGGGAUUAGAUACCCUAGUAGUCC
This 274-nucleotide ribosomal RNA is filed under the name uncultured prokaryote. RNAcentral's name for it is "partial 16S ribosomal RNA". It matches the Rfam family "Bacterial small subunit ribosomal RNA", at positions 524 to 796 of the family's 1533-position model. The record is from RNAcentral.